This 216-nucleotide ribosomal RNA is filed under the name Glomeromycotina sp. RNAcentral's name for it is "partial small subunit ribosomal RNA". The stretch from base 40 to 216 matches the Rfam family "Eukaryotic small subunit ribosomal RNA", at positions 686 to 864 of the family's 1831-position model. The record is from RNAcentral. Lineage: Eukaryota; Fungi; Glomeromycota.
GGGUCGGUAGGUUGGUGGUGCCACCGGUACGUACUGGUCUCACUGAUUCCUCCUUCCUGAAGAACCGUAAUGCCAUUAAUUUGGUGUUGCGGGGAAACAGGACUGUUACUUUGAAAAAAUUAGAGUGUUUAAAGCAAGCUAACGCUCGAAUACAUUAGCAUGGAAUAAUGAAAUAGGACGAUCGAUCCUAUUUUGUUGGUUUCUAGGAUUGACGUA